Neofelis nebulosa (Clouded leopard) is the source of this 693-nucleotide long non-coding RNA. RefSeq lists it as uncharacterized. NCBI's taxonomy places the organism in Eukaryota, Metazoa, Chordata, Mammalia, Carnivora, Felidae. The transcript is spliced from 3 exons. The record is from RefSeq and is a predicted model, not a curated record.
UGUUGGGAUGAGCCCUGGGCGUUGUGUGUAAGUGAUGAAUCACAAGAACCUACCCCCAAACCAAGAGCACACUGUAUACCUGAGCCGAAGUCCGACGCUUAACCGAAUGAGCCACCAGGCACCCCCACGGCACCCUUACUGAAAACCAAUUGAAUAGUCUCAAACAGGGACUCUUUUGAGUUCCCCAGAUGUGCCCUGAGCAGUGAAGAAAGACCCAUUACCAUCACUUCCCUCAGCUAGAUAUUCUACCCCUAUUAACGUGACGUGAGACGGCAUCAGCUUUUCCCCAGCCACAGACGCGAGCAACACUCUGAUAAACGGUGGGAAACUGUUGCAUUCUGAGGUCGGGAUUCCCACUGUCGAAGUGAAGGGAAAUAACAGACCUACGAGAUGAGCAGCGGUUGUGACAAACGCCGUAUUCGUCAGGAGAACAGGUUCCGCGGCCUCUUGAGAAAAAUGAGCAGGCCGAACCGGACCUGGGACGGCAAGUAGGUUGAACGUGCACGCGGCCGGUAGCCGCUGCUUAGACUGAUGUUGAAGGCUCCGCAGGAAAAGAAGGCUAGGACACAGCGUGCUGUGUGCCACGGGCUCCGUCUGGCUCUGUCAUGCACCGACAUGGACCCGACCAGGGACUAAGGCUCUUUCCAGCACUAUGAAUUCCACGAUUCUGGACUCAACUGACCCGUGGCUGGA